RNAcentral lists this ribosomal RNA (479 nucleotides) under uncultured bacterium. RNAcentral's name for it is "partial 16S ribosomal RNA". It matches the Rfam family "Bacterial small subunit ribosomal RNA", at positions 28 to 507 of the family's 1533-position model. The record is from RNAcentral.
GAUGAACGCUAGCGGGAGGCCUAACACAUGCAAGCCGAGCGGUAGAGUUUCUUCGGAAACUUGAGAGCGGCGCACGGGUGCGUAACACGUGUGCAACCUACCUUUAUCUGGGGGAUAGCCUUUCGAAAGGAAGAUUAAUACCCCAUAAUAUAAUGAUUGGCAUCAAUUAUUAUUGAAAACUCCGGUGGAUAGAGAUGGGCACGCGCAAGAUUAGAUAGUUGGUGAGGUAACGGCUCACCAAGUCAAUGAUCUUUAGGGGUCCUGAGAGGGAGAUCCCCCACACGGGUACUGAGACACGGACCAGACUCCUACGGGAGGCAGCAGUGAGGAAUAUUGGACAAUGGGUGAGAGCCUGAUCCAGCCAUCCCGCGUGAAGGAUGACGGUCCUAUGGAUUGUAAACUUCUUUUGUACAGGGAUAAACCUACCCUCGUGAGGGUAGCUGAAGGUACUGUACGAAUAAGCACCGGCUAACUCCGUG